RNAcentral lists this long non-coding RNA (2729 nucleotides) under Phocoena sinus (vaquita). Its description in RNAcentral is "lncRNA (ENSPSNG00000019046.1)". The record is from RNAcentral. Lineage: Eukaryota; Metazoa; Chordata; Mammalia; Artiodactyla; Phocoenidae.
AUCAUUUCUAUCUCUUUAAGGAUAGUCUCUAUCUAUGCGAUGAGUCACUGCUCCCACACCUUCCUUUAAUUCUUUAAGAAUGGUUUCUUUUAGUUUUUGAACUAAGAAAAUAAAAUCAUAGCUUCUUUGAAGUCUUUGUCUGCUAAGUUCAGUAACUGGGCCCCUCCAAAAGCAGUCUCUACUGCCCAGUUUCUCUAACAUGUCCCAUAAUUUUCUGUUGAAAAAUGGACAUUUUAGGUAAUAUACUGUAGCAACUCUGGUUACUGGUUACUCCCUCCCCACCAGAGGUUAUCUGUUUGUUUGUUUACUUGGCUGGACUAAUUCUGUGUAAGUCUACUUUCCCUACAGGGUACAGCUGUUGAUGUCUCUGCUCAGAUAUUUCUCCCUUUUAUAUACUUUAGUCUGGCUUGCUAGGGAUCACCCAUGGGACAGCAUAAGACACUUACUGGUCAAAGGUUGUGCUUAAGUCCCCUUAGCUAGUUAGAUUUUCAUCCUCUACCAUGACGUUUGGGGCUUAGAGACUACUUUCACAGUUCAGAGAGCAAGGGACGGUGGGAAGGUCUGAAUAUAAAGAUGCCGCACAGGAGCUGGAAUUAUUAUGUAUCCUGGCUGUGCUGGUGGCCAUAAAAACCUGAGCAUGUGUAAAACCGCAUACCACUGUACACCAGAAAAAGUGAACUUUACUGUAUAUAAAUUUUUAAGUGACUGGAUUUGUCUUUUAAGAAAAGAUACCUCGACACCUGUACUGCUCUUACACAGCUGAAUCCAAUGUGAUCACUUGGGUUCUUAAAAGUUCAGUACUUAAUAUUUAAUAGGGAGACAGAAAACAAAAUCUUUCUUAUUAUACUAUUGCCUACUGGGGGUCAUUUCUUCUCAGAACACAAUACAAACUAAACUUAAAAAACCAUAUCCUUCUAAUGCUUAAUAGUUAGUAUGAUAUGGUCAAGCUUUUAUACCUGACCAAAGAAGUCUCUUCUGGAUUAGGCAUCGUCAUUUUCCUUCAAGUAAAAAUUCUGGAUUUCCUUAAUUGUUACUGACAAGGCCCACAGAGCCUGAAGACACUAAGACUUAAAGAUCCAGGAAAAAUCAAGCGAAUGUAUACAAAAGUAGGGAUGGCAAAAAUCAGGCCUGACAGACGGGGUGUGAGGCUGGACGCACUGCCUGCCGGGUCCCCAGGGAUCCUCAAGUCUGCACAGCAGGCUGAGGCACACAGUGACAGAACAACUCAGCGAGCCUCUCUUCCCACACCAGCCGCCACUUUAAUUUCAGGUCAAGUUGAAAGCAAUCCCUCUUUUUUUUUUUUAAACCUUUACGACAGUAGAUGAGCUCAUUUAUAACUCCCAACCACCUCGCUACUCUCAUUUUUGCUUUUAAUCUUCAGAGUGAAGGCAAAAACAAACAAAACAAAAAGGGAAUGAACAAACAAAAAAACAAAAAGGAAGAAACUCAGUCCAAAUUUUUAAGCCAAGAUUCAUUCUCUUGCUCUUACAAAAGCCACCCUUUCCCUCGACAGCCACCAGUUUCCUGCCUUUUCUAGUGUAGCCUGUAGUUUCACGAAAUACUUUUAUCUGCUUUAUCCCUUUUAUUUUAUUUUAUUUUAUUUUUUUAUAAAUUCAUUUAUUUAUUUUUGGCUGUGUUGGGUCUUCGUUGCUGCACGCAGGCUUUCUCUAGUUGCGGCAAGCGGGGGCUACUCUUCGUUGCGAGCACGGGCUCUAGGCACACGGGCUUCAGCAGUUGUGGCGCACGGGCUUACUUGUUCUGCGGCAUGUGGGAUCUUCCCAGACUAGGGCUCGAACCUGUGUCCCCUGCAUCGGCAGAUGGAUUUUUAACCAUUGCGCCUCCAGGGAAGUCCCUGCUUUACCCCUUUUAAAAAGAUGCUCUCUUUCUUCCUUCGUGCCACUCAACUGGCAAAGCCUUCUAUUAAUCAAACUGUGACCACCUGCUUAUUCGUCUUGAUACACAUCUGUGCUCUCGCUGUGUGCGGAUAGCUCUGUGUCUCACUGAAGUUGGAACCACUUGGUGGCAAGGAUGUGCGUAAGUGGCCUCCACGGUCCUCACUGGGAACAGGGCUCCAUCCACUGAGUAUCUGACUAUCUGGGUUAAACGGUUCACCCACUGCUCUCUUCCCCUCCCCUGCCCAGCGAAAAUGAAGAUAAACCCAUGGGAGAUGUGCCUUUACUUCCUCGGGGAGGCAAGAGUGUGGAGAAGGAUUACGAGAUUAUUCCUACUGUGUAAGUGCAGGAGAAAGAGACGAAGAUGAUGAAGAAAGGAAAGCGAGGAUGAGGAGAAGAAUGCUUCUUGUAAAGAUAAAAGCAGUAGGAAGGAAAGUUGAAAAACCAGCUUUCUCCGUUCUCAGGAUUCCAGGAAACACUCCUGAUGAGUAACAGAGGUUCUGAACCAAAGACUCGGUCAAAACAUGGCUGUACAGGAUCCUAGAUUCCUUCUGGUUUCUCAAGGCUCUUUGGCUUUAAAUUAAGCUUAAGGUAUCAGUCCUAUUGAAAGUGGAUUCAACUGAAUCUCAGUCCAGACCUCCGUCUUCAAGUGAAUGUGGGGAUGGAUCCACUCAUUUGGGCCGAGGCUUAGGAAUAGACUGAAACGAGAGGCCCUUUACAUAACCAUCAAAAGGACUUACCCUCUCGACUCACCAUACAAAGCUGGUAGAAAGGGAGGUCUCCUGCUUCUGCUCAAGACUUUCUUAAAUCAACGGCCACCCGUACCAAAACACCUCC